UUCGUCAAAGUUCAGAUUUGACUUAGUGGCGGACGGGUGAGUAAUGCAUGAGCAACCUGCCUUGUACUGGGGGACAACAGUUGGAAACGACUGCUAAUACCGCAUAAGCGCACAGCUUCGCAUGAAGCAGUGUGAAAAACUCCGGUGGUACAAGAUGGACCCGCGUCUGAUUAGCUGGUUGGCGGGGUAACGGCCCACCAAGGCGACGAUCAGUAGCCGGACUGAGAGGUUGAACGGCCACAUUGGGACUGAGAUACGGCCCAGACUCC
RNAcentral lists this ribosomal RNA (269 nucleotides) under uncultured Eubacteriales bacterium. RNAcentral describes it as "uncultured Clostridiales bacterium partial 16S ribosomal RNA". It matches the Rfam family "Bacterial small subunit ribosomal RNA", at positions 67 to 339 of the family's 1533-position model. Lineage: Bacteria; Bacillati; Bacillota; Clostridia; Eubacteriales. The record is from RNAcentral.